Molecule: ribosomal RNA, 237 nt
Filed under: uncultured Staphylococcus sp.
Lineage: Bacteria; Bacillati; Bacillota; Bacilli; Caryophanales; Staphylococcaceae
Description: partial 16S ribosomal RNA
Rfam family: Bacterial small subunit ribosomal RNA
Source: RNAcentral
CGGGUGAGUAACACGUGGAUAACCUACCUAUAAGACUGGGAUAACUUAGGGAAACCGGAGCUAAUACCGGAUAAUAUUUUGAACCGCAUGGUUCAAAAGUGAAAGACGGUCUUGCUGUCACUUAUAGAUGGAUCCGCGCUGCAUUAGCUAGUUGGUAAGGUAACGGCUUACCAAGGCAACGAUGCAUAGCCGACCUGAGAGGGUGAUCGGCCACACUGGAACUGAGACACGGUCCAG